GUCAUGCGACAGAGAAGUCACGUUCUAUAGACAGUUUCUAUAGACAGUUGUGAACGUGCUGACAGCUGGUUGCCCAGGCUAUGGAUUAAAGGGCCAGCAGAGCUGCUGACGGCCCACCGCUGCUGUCAGACAACAUCUCCAAGAUGCUAUAAACUGCAGGACCAGAUGUCAAUCCCAAGGUUUCUAGAGAUUACACCAGCUCCAGACUGAAUCCAAACUCACUUUUGAAGACUUCAGAUGACACCAACGCUCAGAAAGACUACAGACAACAACUGUACAUGAACACACAAAACAUUGGACACACA
Molecule: long non-coding RNA, 305 nt
Organism: Carassius auratus (goldfish)
Lineage: Eukaryota; Metazoa; Chordata; Actinopteri; Cypriniformes; Cyprinidae
Exons: 3
Source: RefSeq, a predicted model, not a curated record